CUUAUGAUUAAAUAAAUUUAGUUCGCAGUUGAUAAAUAAAGUUGGGCACUUUAUUUAGGUAUAGACUGUAAUAAAUUCAUUGAAUGAUUUGUCUUAAUCAUGUAUGAAUUUAUUGAUGUAGUACGACUACAUUGAACAGGAUCACAUAUGAGAUUUAAUUAACUUUGUAAUAACUGUCAGACUUAUUAAAUCUCAUAGGUAUUGAUUUUACUGUAAUCUUAAUCUUGAGUUAAUUAUGAUUUCAUGAUUGUAAUUGUUAUUCCAUUUGAGUUACCAACGGGCACGACACAUACUUGUGGUCAAGAUUACCCGGUAUCUUGGUGGGAGCAAUUAUGAGUAUUGGAGUUAUGGAUUAACAAUAUAGAAUUUGUACAACACAUCUCUUGAUAGGUUUUCGGUACUUGAUCAUAGAAUUCUCUGGCCAGAGUGUGUCAACAUAUUUAGUAUGUUGAAAAUGAUCAUUAGAGAAAACCAGUAAGGAUCAAGGAAUAAGAUGUUAUUAAAUUGAUUGGACAGUUGAGAUAUCAAUUUAAUUAACGAUGUGGUACAAAGGAUUGUGCAGUAAAGAAAUCAAUGUGGCUUGGGGCGAAUUAUUAUUCGAGCAUACAAUUAUGGAAGUCAGUUCCAAUCUUUUAGUGGAGUAGAUUUGGAAUUAAAUAAUUGGGCUAGUUUAAUUACAGGCCUAAUUAUUGUAGCCACUAUUGUAUGUUCCCAAAUGAUCCCCGGGUUAGCUCAUUUAAUUGACUGCACCACUACUGGACUAAUAAGUAAGAUAACUAGCUAUUUGGGUCAAAAGCCUAAAUAUAUCAUUUAGUGGGAGGCUCCAUUUAAUUAGCUUUUGUAUAAGGGGCCUUAUGUUAUUUUACAAGGUGGGUCCCCUAUUGAAAAAGAAAAUAACGUGAGUUUUAUUUAUGGCAUUUUUUGGAGCCUAGGGUUUUCACUAAAGGGAGAUAUAUAAGGCUUAUUUUCUCUAAAGAAAAAAAGGUGAAGCCACUUUAUACAGAUCAGAGAAUAAGAUUUUUCUCUCCAUUGUUGAGAGAAAAAUUUUCUCGUGCUAGUUGAUUUGGUAGUGAUAAAGGCGCCCACACGUCAAGUGCAGAUCGAACCUGAGUCAUAACCUGGAAGAUCAUUGGUGACAGUUCGUGAUCUAGCAAGCGUGGUGGUGACGGAUCGUGAUCUAACAGGAGUGGUGGUGGCGGAUCGUGAUCUAGGAGCCUAAAUCAUUUCAACGGAAAAAGCCAAAUCGGAUUUUCAAGGUACGAUUUCUGGAUUACGUAUUCUUAUAUAUUAUAUGAGAGCGAUCUUCAAAAGGUUUAAUAAAAAUUUAAAAACCUAAUUUUUCCCCAACAAUUGGUAUCAGAGCCAUCUCAUAUUAAUAUAUAAAGAAUUUCGUAUGAAAUCAUUCUUGAAAUUUAUGUAUUAGAGUGGCACAAUUUAUUCAGAUAUAUAUUAAUUGUUUAAUAUAUGAAUAAAGCAUGUUUUGAUUUGUCUUAAUUCAUGGUUAGAUUUUCCGUUGUAUUUUUCGUUUGGAUCUGUAACAAGAGGGGUGGCUUUUUAUCACCAUAAUUCCCUCUUGAUUUAUUUUACUGUAAUUGAAAUUUUGUAAGCCAAAAUUUGCGUUGAAAAUUUGUAAAUCACCGAAGCAUCAUCACUGGAAAACGAGCGCAAACAAUGGAGGACGGAAAUUUCAGCAACGGCCAGCAGCACACGCUGCUGCGCGAGCAGCGCGCGGCCCGCAUGGGCAGCAGCGCGCGCUGCACGCCCAGCAGUUGCCGCGUGCGCGCUGCAAGCCCGCAAAGCACGCUGUGACCAGCAACUGCAGCGUGCAACCAGCAGCGUGAGCAAGGGCUUCCAGUUGCACGCGCGGGUUUGAUGCGUUUCCGACGAGGCGGCAGCGGUUGGAGAUGUGUCGGAGAUCGGCGGCUGUCCGGUGUGAAACAGUGAACAGUGGCUGGAGAUUUUUGGAGAUGGCGGCUGGGGAAGAAAGAAAGAAAAAUAUGGAUUUAGGGUUUCAUGGUUUUUAUCAUGGAGGUCCCUAUGGUUCCAUAAGUUUUCACUUGGGCAGAAAAUUUUAAUUUUUUGCAUUUAAGUUUAAAAACAGUUUUGGGCUUAAUGAAUCCUAGUUUUAGGCCCAAUUUUAAUUGGGCUUAAUGGAUUAAAAUGCAUAGAUAAAAUUGAAUACAUUAAAUUUAUUUUUGGUCUAAAAGUUUUAUUUUAAUAAAAAAAAAUUUUUUUUUAUGUUCUUUCAAAAGUAAAAUUGGACCAAUUAUAAAUUUAAAAGUCCAAUUUCCCCUAGUCCAUUAACAAAGACAAGAUUAUGGAAGAUGAACAUUGACAAGAAGCCCAAUGAAGAUUAGGCUUAGGUUAAUGUAUUUUUCAUUAUUAGGAAAGCCAUGAAUUAAGAUUAUUUAAUUAUUUUUCUAUAUGUUAUGUUUUGGAUGAUAAUAUGCCAUGAUAACAUGUCAUAUAGAAUAGGAAGUGCCACUCUAUGCAUAAUGAUACAUGUCAUUCAUUAAUAAUGAAUUUCAUUAUAUUGUUUGAAAUUUGCAUAUGCUUAAUAAUAUUUGAUAUCAUCUAGAUAAUAUUAUAGGAAGCAUGCAAUUAACAAUAUGUAUGUUUUUUUUAAAAAAAAAAAAAAAACCAAUUUUAAAAUAUUGAGUGGGAGAGGGAAAAUUCAAGAUAAUUUUCCCACGGGCUCCAUUGUUAGUUCAAUAAUAAAAUUAUAUAUAUACCUCGACUUCAUGAUACGGUGAUGCUCCCUUCGGAGGGUAUAUAUAUUAGAUAUUUUAUUUGAUGAACUUCUUCAAAGAUAAAAUUGAAAUAUUUUUUAAUCGAUUGUUCACCCCAACGGUGACUAUUGAUAUGAAAAAUACGUAGAUUGAAACAAUGGUUAUACACUCAACUAAAGUUUGUUAUUAACCUUCCCAAGGAAGCUCUGUUAACAAAUUUAGGCCUAAAGGGAUAACGAUAAUUAUUUAUCAUGUCUCUACAUGAAAGUAAAUAAUCUAAUGGAUAAUUGGGUCUAGUAAGUGUAGACAUGACUUCCCCAACGGAUAGCUUGUCAAAGCGGUACUAGAUUGUCGUUACAAUAAAUUAAAAUGCAUUUAUGGUUUUUUGCAUUUUUGUCAUUUAUUGUGAAUAUUGUUUCAAAGUAUUUAUGCAUGUCUAUUUUGUUUUUUUUUCAGAAAAUGUCUUCCAUCAACCCAUUAUUAAUUAUCCUUGUUAAAAAUGAACUCACUAGCGAAAAUUAUUUAGAUUGGAAACGCAAUCUAUUUAAUAUUCUCACUGCUAAGGGAAGCAAAUAUGUUUUGACUCAGCCUUGCCCUCCUGAACCAUCGUUAUACGAUUAUAGAAAUCAGAGGGAUCCUUAUGAGAAAUGGUGCGAAGCUAACAAAAUGGCUAAGCGCUAUAUAUUGGCUUCGAUUUCUGUGGAACUGCAUAAGAAACAUCGGAGCAUGGAAACAGCCACUGAAAUAAUGGCUAGUCUUCAUCAGAUGUUUGGGCAAAAUACCCAUUUUGCCAGAGAAGCAGCAUUGAAAUGUAUUAUGGAUACUAAGAUGGAAGAGGGCACAAAAGUUCGUGAUCAUGUCCUCAAAAUGAUGGACUAUUUGAAUGAGGUAGAGAUUCAUGGUGUUCAAAUCAAUGAUAAAUCAAAGAUUAACAUGGUGAUUGAAUCUUUACCUGAUACAUUCAAAGAGUUUAAGGUCAGUUAUAUCUUAAACAAUAAAGAUAUGACCUUAAUUGAAUUAAUGCACGAACUACAUGCUAUAGAAGAAUUUUAUCAUAGCAGAAAACUUCCUGAAAAAGGAUUCUCUUUAAAGCUUAAGUCGAAAGACAAGAAUGAGCAAGCAAGAGUUGGGAUCGGCAAACUGUCCACUAAAAGAAGUGGCAAGCCAAAAGGCAAGUGUUACAAAUGUGGACAGAAGGGUCACUGGAAGAAAGAUUGUCCUAAGAUUAUUAAAAUCAGGUAUAGGAAAUCUUUAAGCUUCCUAAUUAGUUCAAAUUUCUAUUGCAUCAUACAAUAAUGAAUUCUGAGAUAACUAAUCUUAUUUGUAAUUCAUUUAUUUGGUUUUCAGGAAACCAAGAGAUUAAGUGAAGAAAACAUCAAACAUCAGUUGAGGACAUGCUAGUUUAUAUCAAUUGAAAGACUAGAUCAAUUUUACAAGACUUUAGUUUUGAUAUUUGUCUUUAUAUUAGAGGAAUUUAAUUUCGGUGGCUUGUUUUAAUAAACAGGAGUACACUGUUAUUUUUUGGAUCCUCUAUUUAUUAUUUAUUUUGGUUAUUUAUAAAGACAAUUUAUAUCAUAGAAGUCCAUUGAUCUAUUCAAAGUAAGAUAUAAUGAUAAAAAGUAUAUGCAUUUAUCUAAGAAAAGAAAUGUUUCUUCUAACCAAAAAUCACCUCUGAUAUUUAUGCCUAAGUCAUAUAAACUAUAAUAAGAUUUUAAGAAAAUGAUUAAUGAUAGACUUGUUGGCCUAUUAAGAUUGAUCAUUGUAACUCUAUAAAUCUUAUUUAGAAAAGUAAUAUGAUAAGGAUGCUCUUUUUGAGCUAAAAGCAUAACAUUGUAUUUGAUGAUUUAGCGCAUACAAAUGUAUACGGACAAAUCAGUUUACAUGUUAUAAGAGGUUAUGAGUAUUCUAUCAAUCUUGUUGAUGAAUAUUCAUUUUAUUUAUGUUUGUCUAAGUGCGUCAUGAUUCCAUUGCUUUUGAAAUUCAAAAGAGUACGUGGAUAAGACAGAAGCAAUUAGACAGGAACAUAAAAGAACUUCGAUAUGAUCGAAACAAAGAAUAUCUCUAUGGAGAAUUCAAGCACUAUUUGGUUGUCAAUGAACACUAUGAUACAAAUAGUGUAAUUAAAUGGAGAAACAAGAUUCUUUUGGAUAAGACAGAUAUAUACUAAGUGUUUAUCAUUUACCUUUUUGAUUCCAGAUACUAGUAUUUGAAACUACAAAGUUUAUUGAACUUAGUUUCAUCUAUCUCGGUGUCUAUUACUCCAAGAUAUUAUGAAAAAGUCACAAACAUAGUUUGAGACACAUUCGUAUUUGGAGUUUACUAGAAUCAGAGAUAGAGAAGAUGGAUUCGUGUUCAGAAGCUUGCAUGUUUUAGGUAUCUUAAAGGAAUAAGGAAAAGUCUGAAUUAUAGUCCUCAAGAUAGGAAUGUAUUUAUAGAAAUAUUCUUUACUUUCUUUGAGGAAGACUAUAUAAUGACUUAUAACCUAAGAGUAAGGUAAAACUAGAGAAAUAAGAGAGAGAUCAGGUUGAUGCUCAGCUUUCAACACCUGUUAUAGAACAGGAAGAACAGCAACAACCAGCUGAUCAGCACAGGAUUAUCCUUGAACAACCAUCACUUUUAGAACCUCGUCGUAGUGGGAGGGUAACUAGGUUACCUGCAAGAUACAUGUUUUUGGGAGAAACCUAUAAGGCUACCUCAGAUGAACAUGUAUAAGAUCCCACUAGUUACAACGAAGCUCUAAUAGAUAGAGAUGAUGAAUUUUGAAAAAGGCCAUGAAUCAAGAAAUGGAAUCUAUGUAUUCCAAUAAAGUCUGGGAACUUGUAGAGGCACCAAAUGGGGUAAAACCUAUAGGGUGCAAGUGGAUCUACAAGAGAAAAAGAGGAGAAGAAGGAAGGGUGGAAACAUUUAAAGCAAGAUUAGUAGCCGAAGGGUUUACUCAGAAAGAAGGAAUCAAUUAUGAGGAAACCUUUUCUCCGGUUGCUAUGCUUAAAUCCAUCAGGAUUCUGCUCUCCAUUGCUGCAGUGCUAGAUUAUGAAAUUUGGCAAAUGGAUGUCAAGACUGCCUUUCUUAACAGGCAUCUUGAAGAAAACAUCUACAUACAGCAACCAGAUGGAUUUAUACAAAAAAGGCCAAGAACACAUGGUAUGUAAGUUGCAGAGAUCUAUUUAUGGAUUGAAGCAAGCAUCCCAGUCAUGGAACAUCAGAUUUGAUCAAGCGAUUAAAUCACUUGGAUUCAUUCAGAACAUUGAUGAACCAUGUGUGUACAAGAAAAUUCAGGGAAAAUUUGUAGCUUUCCUAGUUCUUUGUGUAGACAAUAUUCUCCUGAUUGGAAACGAUAUAGGAGUAUUGACUACAAUAAAGAUUUGGUUAGCAAAACAAUUUGAUAUGAAAGACCUGGGAGAGACAAGUUAUAUUCUUGGUAUCAAGUUACUAUGAGACCGGAAGAAUAAAACUUUAGCCUUGUCUCAAGCGGUCUAUAUCGAUAAGAUAUUGGCUAGAUUUAGUAUGGAAAAUUCCAAGACUGGUUUAUUACCAUUCAGACAUGGAAUUACAUUCUCUAAGGAUCAAUCACCUAAAACAUCUGAAGAGAUAGAGAGAAUGAGACGAGUUCCCUAUGCAGAAGCUGUGGGAAGUCUCAUGAAUGCCAUGCUUUGCACUAGGCCAGACAUCUGUUUUGCGGUAGGGAUGGUUAGUAGAUAUCAAUCUAAUCCUGGACUGAACACUGGACUGCGGUCAAGCAUAUAAUGAAGUAUCUGAAAAGAACUUAAAAUUAUAUGCUUGUGUAUUCUGGUGAUGAACUUAUUCUAGUGGGUUAUACUAAUUCUGAUUUUUUGUCAGAUAAGGAUUUUAGAAAAUCAACUUCCGGCUAUGUGUUUACAUUGGGAAGUGGAGCUACUAGUUGGAUGAGUGUGAAACAAUCUUGUAUCACAGACUCAACAACUAAAGCUGAAUAUGUGGCUACAUCUGAAGCUGCAAAAGAAGCUAUAUGGCUCUGCAAGUUCCUACGAAAUCUUGAGGUGGUACCUGUUGUAACUGCACCCCUUAAACUAUUUUGUGAUAAUGGUGGUGCGGUAGCUCAAUCUAAGGAACCAAGGAACCACAAGAAACAAAACAUAUUGAAAGGAAGUAUCAUCUUAUAAGGGAAUAGUGUAGAAAGGUUAUAUGACAGUACCCCAAAUGGCAUUAGAUGCUAAAUGGCAGAUCUUAUUACAAUGGCCAUUAGUGGGAAACCUUUAUAACCUGCACUUAGAGCCCUAGAGCAUGUGCAAUAUGCCAGAUAUGCUUUGAGAGCUAGUGGGAGAUUGUUGGGAAAAUAUGCUCUUUAAAAGCAUAUGUGUUUAUUUAAUUGUAAUAAACAAUUUUUCUGAUUAAUAAAAUAAAUGAGGUAUUUUAUUCAAAUAUCUUAAUUGCAUUAAUACUUGUAUUAAAGUCCAUUUAAUCAUAUUAUAUGUAUUUAUGUGAUCACCAUGUGGAUUCACAGAAGACAUAAAUACAAGUUAUCUUAUGAUUAAAUAAAUUUAGUUCGCAGUUGAUAAAUAAAGUUGGGCACUUUAUUUAGGUAUAGACUGUAAUAAAUUCAUUGAAUGAUUUGUCUUAAUCAUGUAUGAAUUUAUUGAUGUAGUACGACUACAUUGAACAGGAUCACAUAUGAGAUUUAAUUAACUUUGUAAUAACUGUCAGACUUAUUAAAUCUCAUAGGCGUUGAUUUUACUGUAAUCUUAAUCUUGAGUUAAUUAUGAUUUCAUGAUUGUAAUUGUUAUUCCAUUUGAGUUACCAACGGGCACGACACAUACUUGUGGUCAAGAUUACCCGGUAUCUUGGUGGGAGCAAUUAUGAGUAUUGGAGUUAUGGAUUAACAAUAUAGAAUUUGUACAACACAUCUCUUGAUAGGUUUUCGGUACUUGAUCAUAGAAUUCUCUGGCCAGAGUGUGUCAACAUAUUUAGUAUGUUGAAAAUGAUCAUUAGAGAAAACCAGUAAGGAUCAAGGAAUAAGAUGUUAUUAAAUUGAUUGGACAGUUGAGAUAUCAAUUUAAUUAACGAUGUGGUACAAAGGAUUGUGCAGUAAAGAAAUCAAUGUGGCUUGGGGCGAAUUAUUAUUCGAGCAUACAAUUAUGGAAGUCAGUUCCAAUCUUUUAGUGGAGUAGAUUUGGAAUUAAAUAAUUGGGCUAGUUUAAUUACAGGCCUAAUUAUUGUAGCCACUAUUGUAUGUUCCCAAAUGAUCCCCGGGUUAGCUCAUUUAAUUGACUGCACCACUACUGGACUAAUAAGUAAGAUAACUAGCUAUUUGGGUCAAAAGCCUAAAUAUAUCAUUUAGUGGGAGGCUCCAUUUAAUUAGCUUUUGUAUAAGGGGCCUUAUGUUAUUUUACAAGGUGGGUCCCCUAUUGAAAAAGAAAGUAACGUGAGUUUUAUUUAUGGCAUUUUUUGGAGCCUAGGGUUUUCACUAAAGGGUGAUAUAAAAGGCUUAUUUUUCCCUAAAGAAAAAAGAGAAGCCACUUUAUACAAAUUGGAGAAUAAGAUUUUUCUCUCUAUUGUUGAGAGAAAAAUUUUCUCGUGCUAGUUGCUUUGGUAGUGAUAAAGGCGCCCACACGUCAAGUGCAGAUCGAACCUGAGUCAUAACCUGGAAGAUCAUUGGUGACAGUUCGUGAUCUAACAAGCGUGGUGGUGACGGAUCGUGAUCUAACAGGAGUGGUGGUGGCGGAUCGUGAUCUAGGAGCCUAAAUCACUUCAGCGGAAAAAGCCAACUCGGAUUUUCAAGGUACGAUUUCUAGAAUACAAAUUCUUAUAUAUUAUAUGAGAGCGAUCUUCAAAAGGUUUAAUAAAAAUUUAAAAACCUAAUUUUUCCCCAACAAAACCAAGGGUAGGGAACAGUCAGCCGGCUAUGGGUUUUGAUAGUGGUAGCGGCUGAUUGAUUGGGAGUGACAAUGACUAUUUAGGAUAGGGUCUGAAUGCUGUGUGUGAGAGGGAGAGUGACGAUGAGUAGAGAGUGUUGAUUAUGAGUUUAGCACUUAGAAAAUUUUGUUUUUGUUUACAUUUACUUUAAACACAGCGUUUUGUUUUAUAUUUAAAAAAAUCAUUUCAUAAUCUAAAUGUUACAUUUUGGAUUUUUAAAAAAUAAAAUAUUACUUUUAUAUUUAGUCAAACAUGGUCAAUAUCAAUUUUUUAUCACAACAUUUGUGACCGAGUUAAUUUCUAUCGCAUGCGUAUCAUUGAAUAUUGAUAGAUAAUUAUUCUAUCACAAGUACAUCAUUAAUAGUUUGAUAAAUUAAAAUUUUAUCACGACUCUAUCAUACUUAUAUAAUAAAAUGAUUUAUGUCAUAAAGUGGUCAUUAUCUAUUGUCAGUUUUCUUGUAGUGUAAUAAAAUGUAGCAUAAUAAAAUAUUCAUGCAUUAAAAUAAUAUGAUAUAGUAUAAUACAAUACAAUAUACUAAAUGCACCCAAAAAAUGUUACUAAAUGGCCAAAACAAAGAGAGGACAACAAAAAUACCGGCAUGUGCUUCCAUUUUUUGCCUCACUCUCUCUUGCUUUUGACCAUUAAAAACAUUAAAAAAAUAAAAGAACGAUAAAAUACUAGCAUAAUCUAAGCCUAUCCUCCCCAUUUCACAUUAUCCUCUUUUACAAAUUACCUCUAGCAUGAUCUACACCACGAUCGAUUAUAAAAGCAAAGGCAUUUAAUGAUCAAUGGAGUUGCCGGUGUCACUGGGUAACAAUGACCACUCUAUCGUCCCCUUUUCACUUUAUCCUCCUUUGCAAACUAGCUCUCUCUUCUGUCACCUCUCUAACAAUUUGUUACCCAAGGGGGACAAAAAAGCACUUGAUGACUAACAGAGUCGCAUAUGGCAUUAGCCAACAAUAAUCAUGCUAAAGAUAUCUUAUCCCCCUUAAUAACCAGAUAAUGAUAUCUUAUAAAAACAAAAAGCCAAUACAAAAACAAUAACCUUGCACUCAAUAGAUUCAUUGCCACCAUGUCUAUGUAUAAUGAAGCCAAUAGAGUUACCGCCACCACGCUGACCCUGUCAUCAUCAAAGGCCCCAUUUAAACUCUCUCUUUCUCUGUCUUUCUUUUAUACUCGUACAUAAUCAAGUUUAUGUCAAAUAAUUAAAAAUAAAUAAUUUAAUUAUGUAAUUUA
RNAcentral lists this long non-coding RNA (9855 nucleotides) under Citrus x clementina. RNAcentral's name for it is "Citrus clementina (C. clementina) long non-coding RNA (CCLE_LNC001763)". Lineage: Eukaryota; Viridiplantae; Streptophyta; Magnoliopsida; Sapindales; Rutaceae. The record is from RNAcentral.